GGGUCGUUAGCUCAAUUGGUAGAGCAGCUGACUCUUAAUCAGCGGGUUGUAGGUUCAAGUCCUACACGACCCACCA
RNAcentral lists this transfer RNA (76 nucleotides) under Deinococcus maricopensis DSM 21211. RNAcentral describes it as "tRNA-Lys (CTT) (tRNA-Lys-CTT-1-1)". It matches the Rfam family "tRNA". Rfam says of the family: Transfer RNA (tRNA) molecules are approximately 80 nucleotides in length. Their secondary structure includes four short double-helical elements and three loops (D, anti-codon, and T loops). Lineage: Bacteria; Thermotogati; Deinococcota; Deinococci; Deinococcales; Deinococcaceae. The record is from RNAcentral.